RNAcentral lists this ribosomal RNA (490 nucleotides) under uncultured bacterium. RNAcentral describes it as "bacterial SSU rRNA". It matches the Rfam family "Bacterial small subunit ribosomal RNA", at positions 28 to 518 of the family's 1533-position model. The record is from RNAcentral.
GAUGAACGCUAGCGGGAGGCCUAACACAUGCAAGCCGAGCGGUAUUUGUUCUUCGGAACAGAGAGAGCGGCGUACGGGUGCGUAACACGUGUGCAACCUACCUUUAUCAGGGGAAUAGCCUUUCGAAAGGAAGAUUAAUACUCCAUAAUAUAUUGAAUGGCAUCAUUCGAUAUUGAAAACUCCGGUGGAUAAAGAUGGGCACGCGCAAGAUUAGAUAGUUGGUGAGGUAACGGCUCACCAAGUCAAUGAUCUUUAGGGGUCCUGAGAGGGAGAUCCCCCACACUGGUACUGAGACACGGACCAGACUCCUACGGGAGGCAGCAGUGAGGAAUAUUGGACAAUGGGUGAAAGCCUGAUCCAGCCAUCCCGCGUGAAGGAUGACGGUCCUAUGGAUUGUAAACUUCUUUUGUAUAGGGAUAAACCUAGAUACGUGUAUCUAGCUGAAGGUACUAUACGAAUAAGCACCGGCUAACUCCGUGCCAGCAGCCGC